Long non-coding RNA from Wasmannia auropunctata (little fire ant), 809 nucleotides. RefSeq lists it as uncharacterized. NCBI's taxonomy places the organism in Eukaryota, Metazoa, Arthropoda, Insecta, Hymenoptera, Formicidae. The record is from RefSeq and is a predicted model, not a curated record. The transcript has 2 exons.
AUAUGUUUGCGACGUAACUCGACGGUUCUCCGAACGUUGUUCAUUCGAUCGAUUCCGUUUCGUAAAAUGUUACUUGCCAAGAUAAGAUUAUAAAUUUUUUAUAAUAAUAUAGAUUAUUCGUAUAGCAUUCCUCGUGAGAUUAUGGAGCAAAGAAUUGUUUUUAUUCGCGCAUAAUCAUUCCGCGAGACCGGUCGAAAGUUCGUGCACAGGGAUUUAUACGGUUAUCACGAAUAAUUAAUGUCUCCUUCUUAUGAUACUGCAAAGAAACAGUAUUCCUCGAGACAUUCUCUAUUGAUUUAGCAUCCGCGAUAUCUCGAGAGUGCGAUUCGCACACAAGGACGAUCGUGUUUCAAUUUGCAAUGUUCUAACGAAGCUUCGAUUCUCAAAUCUUAAGAGAAAUGUAAACGGUACCUGAUGACAUCAAUGCCUUUUAUUCCGAAGCGGACUCUUUUCGAAAUUCCGAAGAAUCCCACAGUCAAACUCCUGCACAGACUGACGCCCGACACUGCGCUCGAGGAAGUUUGUACUGUCGACAGGGGAAUGUAUUUACAAACACGAGCCGUGCGAGUUAUUGCUGAUCGUGACGAGAUUGAACAACACGUACUAGAAAAUCGCGCCGAAAGAAUGUAUUAUCUGCGAUUUUUCUUUAUCAACGGUAUUUGCAGUGUAUCUACACAGCUAUAUAAUCUAAUCGCAGCACAUAUUGAAUGUCUCCGAACUAAUAUUGCUAUUGGAGAAACUGUACUGGAAAUGUACUGGCGAAAAAUCGUGAGAGAUAAUGUGCAAUAAUUAGAUUGAUUUUUACAAAA